This 301-nucleotide ribosomal RNA is filed under the name uncultured bacterium. RNAcentral describes it as "partial 16S ribosomal RNA". It matches the Rfam family "Bacterial small subunit ribosomal RNA", at positions 509 to 809 of the family's 1533-position model. The record is from RNAcentral.
CAGCCGCCGCGGUAAUACGUAGGGUGCAAGCGUUAAUCGGAAUUACUGGGCGUAAAGCGUGCGCAGGCGGUUUGUUAAGACAGAUGUGAAAUCCCCGGGCUCAACCUGGGAACUGCAUUUGUGACUGGCAGGCUAGAGUAUGGCAGAGGGGGGUGGAAUUCCGCGUGUAGCAGUGAAAUGCGUAGAUAUGCGGAGGAACACCGAUGGCGAAGGCAGCCCCCUGGGCCAAUACUGACGCUCAUGCACGAAAGCGUGGGGAGCAAACAGGAUUAGAUACCCGAGUAGUCCCUGUCUCUUAUAA